Long non-coding RNA from Trematomus bernacchii (emerald rockcod), 1245 nucleotides. RefSeq lists it as uncharacterized. The record is from RefSeq and is a predicted model, not a curated record. The transcript has 3 exons. NCBI's taxonomy places the organism in Eukaryota, Metazoa, Chordata, Actinopteri, Perciformes, Nototheniidae.
AAUGUUUAAUUACUAUACUAACUUUAGGGGCCUCUCUUAUUGAAAAGAGGGGUAAUCUGGUAUUAAAUGUAACAAAGUCUCUCUGAAGAGGUUGGCAAUAAAUUAAAGAUCUUAAUGAUCCUGGGGUAUUUUGGUUUUUUCUUUAUGUUUAAUUACAUCACCCAUUAAUAAAAUAAUCCUUAUAUGAAGUUAUAUGAGAUUAGAAGUAGCUGCAGGUAUGGAGGAAAGAGAAGAUUUUUUAAAAGGUCCUGCUAUUUCAUUAUGAAUCGGCUCCUUAAGGUCUGAUCAACACAGAGGUUAGCUGUAAAAAAACACUUAAGAAUGCACAGACUUGAGAGUUUUAAGAAAUCACUGACAGACAACACAUGUUAAAUUAAUAAUACCAUUCCGAUUGGUUCCCCACUUUUUCUGGGGCCUAUUGACAUGCUUAUUUGCAAUACAGCUAUUUAAGGUGAGCACAUUUUCACAAGAACAGACCGCAUGACCUUCUGGAGAGAAUGAGACCUGAUUUGGAUCUGAUCUGGAAAAAAGCACUGGUAAUGGAAUCUACAGCAUAAGCCAUUCAUCGGUAAAACAACGGGGGGAGAGAUCUCUGACGUGUGAAAUCGAGGGUGUCCCCAGUCCCAGAUAGGAGCAUCCCUCUACCUCUGUCACGCCACGUUCGGGGCGACCCCCAACACCACUGUAGUCUGAGCGCCAGGCAUAUUUUUGAGCUUCUCAGUGUGGCCUAGAACAGCUCUGGAUGACCCCAUCCCAAACACACUCCAAACGAGGUGCCAUACAGAUCUGCCUCGCGAGCACAGCGCUGCGACCGUCAACUUUAUGGUUACACCAACUGAAUAAGCUGGAGGCGUUUGAUAGCGGUGUGGUUUUCUUCAGCAGUGAGAAAUGUAUUUUUGAUUUCCUUUCUAUUUUCUUGUGAUGGGAUGAUUUCAUAAACGGUCAAACAUGGGUGAUUUAGCAGCUACAGAAACGUCGUUUCUGCAUUGUUUGAAUGAUAUAAUCCCCCUAAGCGAAAAUGAAUACAUAUAUAGUGAAAUGUCAUUUCCUCAGUGUUCAAACAAUAUUAGCGAAUUGAAUGACGAAGAACUAGAUGUAAACGACCAUUCCUCCCCCUCGGAAACAAACUCAUGCUAUCCACCAACAUUAGAUAGCGCACUGGAAGUAGUUUUAGACAGCCACCAAAACUAUGAAGCAGACCUUGUGGUUUUAAAUCAGCACGCAGACAAAGUACCUCUGUCUUCA